Molecule: long non-coding RNA, 1934 nt
Organism: Lepidothrix coronata (blue-crowned manakin)
Lineage: Eukaryota; Metazoa; Chordata; Aves; Passeriformes; Pipridae
Exons: 5
Source: RefSeq, a predicted model, not a curated record
UGUUCCAAAACUGAGUUGCCAAAUAUCCCAAGCCUCAGUUCAGCCUUGUUUACCUCUGCUCGUGCAGCAGCUGAGCUUCACUCAGCAUUCAUGCAGCCUGGGGGGUAGUGAGAUUCAGACAUUAGUUCUGCCUGCCUGGAAGAGCCCCUGGGGAUCCCUGUGUCCUUCCAUAAUUAGGUGUUUUCUCUAUUUCUUCAUCUGCAAGCAUUCUGAUUUCCACAAGAUCCAUAUUGUCCCUAUAAUUGUACUUCAUCUCAGUGAGUUUCCACCCCACCAGUGCCCGGAUGCCGUCGGCAGUCUGCAGGCUGCAGAUAGACUUGGUCACAAAGAGCGAGUCGGGCGCUGUCUGCAGCACUGUGCCAGCUGGGUUGUGGAGAACAUGACCACAGAGAGAAUGUGCAAAUGGGAAUGUCCUUGGAAAGGACGUUGCUGUCCACCUGGACACUGAGAUGCCAUUUCCCGUGGCAGGAGCUGAAGCUGCCUGAGCUUUUUCUAGAAGAUCCUCAAUAUAUCAAAUAGCUGUGGCUACAUAUCCUUCUGUGUUUGUAUCUGCAACAUCCACCACAUGCAGUUGGGUCGUGUCCAUCCCACUGGCCAAAGGAUGAGUCUGCAACUACAGCAGCAUCUUUUGCUCAUGGGACUACAGAAGGGAGCAACUGUGCUGGACAUUUCUUGGCUUUUUCUCAGUGGAGAAGAGACCAAAUCUCAAUUUUAGUGUUUCCGCUGUCUGAGGCAUCUUUCUGAGGUCUGGUGACUGUCAAAAGUUUAUCUCCUCUGUUUAUUUUGCCCUGCCAGUAUGAGGUUUUUCACAUAAGCCAAAUCUGAGGCUGUCAAUGCAGAGCAAGGAGCCCAUGUUGGUCUGCAGGUUCUUCCAUCCCUGAGGGUUUCAGCGUAAAUGUCUUACAUGUAAAUGGUCGUAAUUCAGUUAAAUUCCAUUACAGGGGGAACAAUCUGCUUUUCUGCAUGAAUGGCUUUAUUUCCUAUAAGUUUUGAAGGAAAAAUAGAACAUUUUAAGUAAGUGCUUUGGUGAAAAGCAUCUGCCUGUUAGGAAGAAGGAGAAGUUGCUUCCAUUUCACAAGAAAUAAUUGCACCCUCAACAUGCCCUUCCUGUUUCCAUCUCGUGGGCCUCUUCUCCUGGAAGAUGCUAGCGGUGUUGUCAAACCAUGAAAAUGCUGAGGAGAAAGUUCUGAAGGCUGGAAAGGAAAGCUGUGCUGGUUUCUCUGAACGUGUUGGUAGCUGUGUCUGUGAGAGCUGGCGAGCAGCUGGGGAGGCUCCAAGCCAUGGUAGCAAUGGCUUUACUGGCAUUUGGAGACAAAGUGUUGGAGAGCACUGAUGAGGAGGAUGAAGAAGACAAGGAGAGCAAGGUGGUGUAAAUGCUCCCAUAAUUAACCAGUUAAUAAUGAUCAUCAUGUUACAUUGUCACUGCCUAAUGAAAGUAUGACAGUGUAAUAUGUAGCGUGGCAUCAGCAUUGCUGGCUGGACCCUGAGACAGUUUCAUUUCACACAUCCCAAUGAGAACUGUCCAUCACGCUGUCAGAAGCCUACUCUGGAUAUUUUCCAAAGAGAAAAAUUUAGAAGUUUGGAAAAAUUUAAGGCUGAAGUGCUGUUACAGAGCUGCAGCUGGGCAAAAUGGGCAUCCAUGGCAGAGCCUGCAAAUAAAGCAGAUGUUCUGUGGGGAAAUACUGUUUAAAACUCUUUAAUUUCACCACAUUUUCACCUUUAUUGUCCAGCACUCAUCAUGGUUACCAUCCAAAAGUCAACAUAAGACAUCCUGUUACAAUUAAUUAGCUGAUCAUCUGCAAAAACCCUGUACAGUUGCUAAUCAAAUACAUAAAAUAGCCUGUGACCUGAGCACACAUAAUUCCACCCAUUUAGGUAUAAGCUGCCAAACAAAGAAGGUUUGCAAGUCAACAGUCUCCAUCACUGUCAGGCCC